Molecule: ribosomal RNA, 891 nt
Filed under: uncultured bacterium
Lineage: Bacteria
Description: bacterial SSU rRNA
Rfam family: Bacterial small subunit ribosomal RNA
Source: RNAcentral
AGCUUAACUCCAUCAUGGCAGUGGAAACUGAAAGGCUUGAGUAUGGUAGGGGCAGAGGGAAUUCCCGGUGUAGCGGUGAAAUGCGUAGAUAUCGGGAAGAACACCAGUGGCGAAGGCGCUCUACUGGACCAUUACUGACACUCAGAGGCGAAAGCUAGGGUAGCAAAAGGGAUUAGAUACCCCUGUAGUCCUAGCCGUAAACGAUGGAUACUAGAUGUUGUAUAUCAUUUACAGUAUCGUAGCUAACGCGUUAAGUAUCCCGCCUGGGGAGUACGCUCGCAAGGGUGAAACUCAAAGGAAUUGACGGGGGCCCGCACAAGCGGUGGAGCAUGUGGUUUAAUUCGAUGCAACGCGAAGAACCUUACCAGGGCUUGACAUACUACAGAUCCCUUUGAGAAAAGGGAGUGCCUUCGGGAAUGUAGAUACAGGUGGUGCAUGGCUGUCGUCAGCUCGUGUCGUGAGAUGUUGGGUUAAGUCCCGCAACGAGCGCAACCCUUAUUUUUAGUUACUAAUUCGUUAGGUUCUCUAGAAAGACUGCCGGUGACAAACCGGAGGAAGGUGAGGAUGACGUCAAGUCAGCAUGCCCCUUAUGCCCUGGGCUACACACGUGCUACAAUGGUUAAGACAAAGAGUCGCGAGCUCGUGAGAGUCAGCUAAUCUCGUAAACUUUGCCUAAGUUCAGAUUGUAGGCUGCAACUCGCCUGCAUGAAGUUGGAAUCGCUAGUAAUCGCUGGUCAGCCAUACAGCGGUGAAUCCGUUCCCGGGCCUUGUACACACCGCCCGUCACACCAUGGGAGCUGGUUAUACCCAAUACCGUUUGCUUAACCAUUCGGAGAGCGGCGUCUAAGGUAGAACUAGUGACUGGGGUGAAGUCGUAACAAGGUAGCCGUA